AUUGAACGCUGGCGGCAGGCCUAACACAUGCAAGUCGAGCGGAUGAAGGGAGCUUGCUCCUGGAUUCAGCGGCGGACGGGUGAGUAAUGCCUAGGAAUCUGCCUGGUAGUGGGGGAUAACGUCCGGAAACGGGCGCUAAUACCGCAUACGUCCUGAGGGAGAAAGUGGGGGAUCUUCGGACCUCACGCUAUCAGAUGAGCCUAGGUCGGAUUAGCUAGUUGGUGGGGUAAAGGCCUACCAAGGCGACGAUCCGUAACUGGUCUGAGAGGAUGAUCAGUCACACUGGAACUGAGACACGGUCCAGACUCCUACGGGAGGCAGCAGUGGGGAAAAUUGGACAAUGGGCGAAAGCCUGAUCCAGCCAUGCCGCGUGUGUGAAGAAGGUCUUCGGAUUGUAAAGCACUUUAAGUUGGGAGGAAGGGCAGUAAGUUAAUACCUUGCUGUUUUGACGUUACCAACAGAAUAAGCACCGGCUAACUUCGU
RNAcentral lists this ribosomal RNA (483 nucleotides) under uncultured bacterium. RNAcentral's name for it is "partial 16S ribosomal RNA". It matches the Rfam family "Bacterial small subunit ribosomal RNA", at positions 30 to 506 of the family's 1533-position model. The record is from RNAcentral.